Molecule: ribosomal RNA, 253 nt
Filed under: uncultured bacterium
Lineage: Bacteria
Also listed under: 1 other name
Description: partial 16S ribosomal RNA
Rfam family: Bacterial small subunit ribosomal RNA
Source: RNAcentral
UACGUAGGUUGCGAGCGUUAUUCGGAUUUACUGGGCGUAAAGAGCACCGAGGUGGCUUCUUAAGUUGGAUGUAAAAUCUCCUGGCUUAACUGGGAGGCGCCAUUCAAAACUGAGGAGCUUGAGGUCAGCAGGGGAAGGUGGAAUUCCCGGUGUAGUGGUGGAAUGCGUAGAGAUCGGGAGGAACACCAGUGGCGAAAGCGACCUUCUGGGCUGCACCUGACACUCUAGUGCGAAAGCGUGGGGAGCAAACAGG